GAUGAACGCUGGCGGCGUGCCUAAUACAUGCAAGUCGAGCGAACGGACGAGAAGCUUGCUUCUCUGAUGUUAGCGGCGGACGGGUGAGUAACACGUGGAUAACCUACCUAUAAGACUGGGAUAACUUCGGGAAACCGGAGCUAAUACCGGAUAAUAUUUUGAACCGCAUGGUUCAAAAGUGAAAGACGGUCUUGCUGUCACUUAUAGAUGGAUCCGCGCUGCAUUAGCUAGUUGGUAAGGUAACGGCUUACCAAGGCAACGAUGCGUAGCCGACCUGAGAGGGUGAUCGGCCACACUGGAACUGAGACACGGUCCAGACUCCUACGGGAGGCAGCAGUAGGGAAUCUUCCGCAAUGGGCGAAAGCCUGACGGAGCAACGCCGCGUGAGUGAUGAAGGUCUUCGGAUCGUAAAACUCUGUUAUUAGGGAAGAACAUAUGUGUAAGUAACUGUGCACAUCUUGACGGUACCUAAUCAGAAAGCCACGGCUAACUACGUGCCAGCAGCCGCGGUAAUACGUAGGUGGCAAGCGUUAUCCGGAAUUAUUGGGCGUAAAGCGCGCGUAGGCGGUUUUUUAAGUCUGAUGUGAAAGCCCACGGCUCAACCGUGGAGGGUCAUUGGAAACUGGAAAACUUGAGUGCAGAAGAGGAAAGUGGAAUUCCAUGUGUAGCGGUGAAAUGCGCAGAGAUAUGGAGGAACACCAGUGGCGAAGGCGACUUUCUGGUCUGUAACUGACGCUGAUGUGCGAAAGCGUGGGGAUCAAACAGGAUUAGAUACCCUGGUAGUCCACGCCGUAAACGAUGAGUGCUAAGUGUUAGGGGGUUUCCGCCCCUUAGUGCUGCAGCUAACGCAUUAAGCACUCCGCCUGGGGAGUACGACCGCAAGGUUGAAACUCAAAGGAAUUGACGGGGACCCGCACAAGCGGUGGAGCAUGUGGUUUAAUUCGAAGCAACGCGAAGAACCUUACCAAAUCUUGACAUCCUUUGACAACUCUAGAGAUAGAGCUUUCCCCUUCGGGGGACAAAGUGACAGGUGGUGCAUGGUUGUCGUCAGCUCGUGUCGUGAGAUGUUGGGUUAAGUCCCGCAACGAGCGCAACCCUUAAGCUUAGUUGCCAUCAUUAAGUUGGGCACUCUAAGUUGACUGCCGGUGACAAACCGGAGGAAGGUGGGGAUGACGUCAAAUCAUCAUGCCCCUUAUGAUUUGGGCUACACACGUGCUACAAUGGACAAUACAAAGGGCAGCGAAACCGCGAGGUCAAGCAAAUCCCAUAAAGUUGUUCUCAGUUCGGAUUGUAGUCUGCAACUCGACUACAUGAAGCUGGAAUCGCUAGUAAUCGUAGAUCAGCAUGCUACGGUGAAUACGUUCCCGGGUCU
This 1372-nucleotide ribosomal RNA is filed under the name uncultured bacterium. Its description in RNAcentral is "bacterial SSU rRNA". It matches the Rfam family "Bacterial small subunit ribosomal RNA", at positions 28 to 1381 of the family's 1533-position model. The record is from RNAcentral.